This 918-nucleotide long non-coding RNA is filed under the name Vitis vinifera (wine grape). Its description in RNAcentral is "long non-coding RNA (VVIN_LNC004905)". The record is from RNAcentral. Lineage: Eukaryota; Viridiplantae; Streptophyta; Magnoliopsida; Vitales; Vitaceae.
CCCUCAUUACUUGGCCUCCCAUAACUAGGCCUCCUCGGUGGCUCCUCCACCUCCGGACUCUCGUAGCUCGGCCUCCCAUACUGUGGCUUCCUGGGGGACCCUUCCCCACCAUAACCAUACCCGCCACCUUGUUCCUCUCCGAAGCUAGGUUUCCGACCGUACCCAGAUCCAUAUUCAGAACUCGGUGCUUCGUACUCAGGCCUCCGACCAUACCCAGAUCCAUACUCCGAACUGGGCUGCUCGAACUCGGGCCUCCGACCAUACCCAGAUCCAUACUCCGAACUAGGUUGCUCGUAUUCAGGCUUCCGACCGUACCCAGAUCCAUAUUCCGUGCUAGGCUGUUCGUAUUCAGGCUUCCGACCGUACCCAGAUCCAUAUUCCGAGCUAGGCUGUUCGUAUUCAGGCUUCCGACCGUACCCAGAUCCAUAUUCCGAGCUAGGCUGUUCGUAUUCAGGCUUCCGACCGUAGCCAGAUCCAUAUUCCGAGCUAGGCUGUUCGCAUUCAGGCUUCCGACCGUACCCGGAUCCGUACUCCGAACUGGGUUCCUCGUAAUCAGGCUUCCGCCCAUGCCCAGAUCCAUACUCACCCUCCCCACCAAAACUCGACGGCGGCUUCGGCUGAUACCCAUACUCACCACCAUCACCACUGCCUCCGAACCCUCCUUGGCCAGGAGGUGGUCCGGCGUAACCAAGGACCGGACGAGGCUUGGGACGAGCAUAGCUCUUGUAUUCAUUCUCAAGAGCUUCAUCACCGUAAGCCGAUGGUUCAGAGCAUGAUGUGUAGCUUGGGCGAUCGUAGUCUAUAUCACCGGACUUCGAGGAGAUCGGAUAGCAAGUCUCCUCCGACGGCUCCAAAGGGCGGCCAUAGAUGACCGUGAUGUCGUAGCCUCCACCAUACGGGGUCGGAUCGUACUCAUCG